This 1315-nucleotide ribosomal RNA is filed under the name Philothermopsis sp. PNG. RNAcentral describes it as "eukaryotic LSU rRNA". It matches the Rfam family "Eukaryotic large subunit ribosomal RNA", at positions 672 to 1873 of the family's 3401-position model. The record is from RNAcentral. Lineage: Eukaryota; Metazoa; Arthropoda; Insecta; Coleoptera; Cerylonidae.
AGUCUAGCACGUGGGCGAGUCACUGGGACCGCUCGAAACCCAAAGGCGAAGUUAAUGCGAAGGUCCGCCUCGCGCGCGACCGAGGGAGGAUGGGUGCGACCGCGGUCGCGCCCCGCACUCCCGGGGCGUCCCGUGCUCAUUGCGAGCUGGGGCGCACCCAGAGCCUACGCGCUAGGACCCGAAAGAUGGUGAACUAUGCCUGGUCAGGACGAAGUCAGGGGAAACCCUGAUGGAGGUCCGCAGCGAUUCUGACGUGCAAAUCGAUCGUCGGAGCUGGGUAUAGGGGCGAAAGACUAAUCGAACUAUCUAGUAGCUGGUUCCCUCCGAAGUUUCCCUCAGGAUAGCUGGCGCUCGUCGCCGACGAGUCUCAUCCGGUAAAGCGAAUGAUUAGAGGCAUCGGGGCCGAAACGGCCUCGACCUAUUCUCAAACUUUAAAUGGGUGAGAUCUCCGGCCCGCCUGAAAACGGGGCCGCGAGAUCGGAUCAGAGUGCCAAGUGGGCCAUUUUUGGUAAGCAGAACUGGCGCUGUGGGAUGAACCAAACGCCGGGUUAAAGCGCCCAAGUCGACGCUCAUGGGACACCAUGAAAGGCGUUGGUAACUUAUGACAGCAGGGCGGUGGCCAUGGAAGUCGGAAUCCGCCAAGGAGUGUGUAACAACUCACCUGCCGAAGUUACUAGCCCUGAAAAUGGAUGGCGCUGAAGCGUCGCGCUCAUACCCGGCCGUCAGCGGCACGUGCGGUCGCCCCUCGCGGGCGGCCAUGAAGCCCUGACGAGUAGGAGGGUCGCGGCGGUGUGCGCAGAAGGGCCGACCGCGAGGUCGUCCGGAGCCGCCGUCGGCGCAGAUCUUGGUGGUAGUAGCAAAUACUCCAGCGAGGCCCUGGAGGACUGACGUGGAGAAGGGUUUCGUGUGAACAGCCGUUGCACACGAGUCAGUCGAUCCUAAGCCCUAGGCGAAAGCCGAUGUUGAUGUGGCGCCGUACACUCAGGUACGCGCCCGUCGGGCGAAAGGGAAUCCGGUUCCUAUUCCGGAACCCGGCAGCGGAACCGCAACCAAAUCGGGCCCUCGCAAGAGAGUUCGUCGGGGUAACCCAACAGGACCCGGAGACGCCGUCGGGAGGUGCGGGAAGAGUUUUCUUUUCUGCAUGAGCGUUCGAGUUCCAUGGAAUCCUCCAGCAGGGAGAUAUGGUUUGGAACGCGAAGAGCACCGCAGUUGCGGCGGUGUCCGCACCUUCCCCUCGGACCUUGAAAAUCCGGGAGAGGGCCACGUGGAGGCGUCGCGCCGGCUCGUACCCAUAUCCGCAGCAGGUCUCCAAGGU